Molecule: ribosomal RNA, 443 nt
Filed under: uncultured bacterium
Lineage: Bacteria
Description: partial 16S ribosomal RNA
Rfam family: Bacterial small subunit ribosomal RNA
Source: RNAcentral
CCUACGGGAGGCUGCAGUGGGGAAUAUUGGGCAAUGGGCGAAAGCCUGACGCAGCAACGCCGCGUGAGGGAAGAAGGCUCUCGGGUUGUAAACUUCUUUUAGCAGGGACGAAGCAAGUGACGGUACCUCAUGAAUAAGCCACGGCUAACUACGUGCCAGCAGCCGCGGUAAUCCGUAGGUGGCAAGCGUUAUACGGGUUUACUGGGAGUAAAGGGCGGGUAGGCGGGAAGGCAAGUCAGAUGUGAAAACAAUGGGCUCAACCUGUGGCCUGCAUUUGAAACUGGUUUGCUUGAGUACUGGAGAGGAAGAUGGAAUUCCUAGUGUAGCGGUGAAAUGCGUAGAUAUUAGGAGGAACACCAGUGGCGAAGGCGAUCUGCUGGACAGCAACUGACGCUGAGGAGCGAAAGCGUGGGGAGCAAACAGGAUUAGAUACCCGGGUAGUC